UGGGGAAUAUUGGACAAUGGGCGCAAGCCUGAUCCAGCAAUGCCGCGUGUGUGAAGAAGGCCUUCGGGUUGUAAAGCACUUUUAUCAGGAGCGAAACGCUGUCGGCUAAUACCCGGCGGAACUGACGGUACCUGAGGAAUAAGCACCGGCUAACUUCGUGCCAGCAGCCGCGGUAAUACGAAGGGUGCAAGCGUUAAUCGGAAUUACUGGGCGUAAAAGCGUGCGUAGGCGGUUUCUUAAGUCUGCUGUGAAAUCCCCGGGCUCAACCUGGGAAUGGCAGUGGAUACUGGGAGGCUAGAGUGUGUCAGAGGGUGGUGGAAUUCCCGGUGUAGCGGUGAAAUGCGUAGAGAUCGGGAGGAACAUCAGUGGCGAAGGCGGCCACCUGGGACAACACUGACGCUGAGGCACGAAAGCGUGGGGAGCAAACAGGAUUAGAUACCCUGGUAGUCCACGCCCUAAAAGCGAUGCGAACUGGAUGUUGGUCUCAACUCGGAGAUCAGUGUCGAAGCUAACGCGUUAAGUUCGCCGCCUGGGGAGUACGGUCGCAAGACUGAAACUCAAAUGAAUUGACGGGGUCAUAGCUGUUUCCUG
This 591-nucleotide ribosomal RNA is filed under the name uncultured bacterium. RNAcentral describes it as "partial 16S ribosomal RNA". It matches the Rfam family "Bacterial small subunit ribosomal RNA", at positions 355 to 1376 of the family's 1533-position model. The record is from RNAcentral.